Pantherophis guttatus is the source of this 318-nucleotide non-coding RNA. The record is from RefSeq and is a predicted model, not a curated record. Lineage: Eukaryota; Metazoa; Chordata; Lepidosauria; Squamata; Colubridae.
GUUUUUCUCCCCAAUGAGGAACCCAUCCAAGAGCAACUAGGGGUUUUUGAAAGACAGAGACUUACUAUCAGUGAAGAUGCCCUUUCACGGUUAAAGUUUCUCAACAAGUCUCUGCCUCAGUCCAAAUGUGGGGAAAAAUGUCAUCCUGGAUUUGUCAAGAGGGCUCGAGAAGGAGAGCCAGUUUGCUGCUAUGACUGUGUUCCUUGUCCGGAGGGAACCAUCUCCACUCAGGAAGAAACAGGAAGGGGAGUGAUUCAGGUUUAUGAAUUAUUCAUCGCCUCGUUCUGCUUCUGGCGCCACUGAUGUCCGAGCCCUGUG